GGAGGCAGAGUUUAUUCCAAAAGCAAGGGCCACAAGGCAAAAACUAACCAUGACCUGGGUGCUUGUGUUUCACAAGAUAGGUUCACUCAGACAUUUACACUCAUUCUUAUUGGAGCAACGUAGAGUCCAAACAUACAUGUCUGAUGGACGAGGGAGAAAACCUGAGGACCAGGAGGUGAAUCAGAAGGAGCAGAUGAUUGCAUCGCACAUGUGAAGGUGCUUUCAGCAGUGGACCGGAGUUAGCAUGGACAUUCUGACCAGAUUGCAGCUAUGCAACAAUCUGCAAUGCACUGUGUGUUCUGACACUUUUCUCCAUGGCCAACAUUAUGUUUCUCAGCAAUUUGUGGAACAGUAAAUCUUAUCCAAGUGCAUCAAUGAGCCUCAGGCAUCCAUCACCUUAUCAUCGGUUCACUGGUUAUCCUUCCUGGACCACAAUUGGGUCACGGAGGUCUGCUGGAGCCAAUCCCAGCCAACACAGG
Polypterus senegalus (gray bichir) is the source of this 479-nucleotide long non-coding RNA. RefSeq lists it as uncharacterized. The transcript is spliced from 3 exons. The record is from RefSeq and is a predicted model, not a curated record. Lineage: Eukaryota; Metazoa; Chordata; Cladistia; Polypteriformes; Polypteridae.